GUUGAGGUGGCAGAGCCUGGUAAUUGCAAAAGACCUAAGUCCUUUAAACCAGAGGUUCAAAUCCUCUCCUCAACU
This 75-nucleotide transfer RNA is filed under the name Halaelurus buergeri (blackspotted catshark). RNAcentral describes it as "tRNA-Leu". It matches the Rfam family "tRNA". From Rfam's summary of the family: Transfer RNA (tRNA) molecules are approximately 80 nucleotides in length. Their secondary structure includes four short double-helical elements and three loops (D, anti-codon, and T loops). Further hydrogen bonds mediate the characteristic L-shaped molecular structure. tRNAs have two regions of fundamental functional importance: the anti-codon, which is responsible for specific mRNA codon recognition, and the 3' end, to which the tRNAs corresponding amino acid is attached (by aminoacyl-tRNA synthetases). tRNAs cope with the degeneracy of the genetic code in two manners: having more than one tRNA (with a specific anti-codon) for a particular amino acid; and 'wobble' base-pairing, i.e. permitting non-standard base-pairing at the 3rd anti-codon position. The record is from RNAcentral. Lineage: Eukaryota; Metazoa; Chordata; Chondrichthyes; Carcharhiniformes; Scyliorhinidae.